Molecule: ribosomal RNA, 1324 nt
Filed under: Salmonella enterica
Lineage: Bacteria; Pseudomonadati; Pseudomonadota; Gammaproteobacteria; Enterobacterales; Enterobacteriaceae
Description: bacterial SSU rRNA
Source: RNAcentral
AAAUUGAAGAGUUUGAUCAUGGCUCAGAUUGAACGCUGGCGGCAGGCCUAACACAUGCAAGUCGAACGGUAGCACAGAGAGCUUGCUCUCGGGUGACGAGUGGCGGACGGGUGAGUAAUGUCUGGGAAACUGCCUGAUGGAGGGGGAUAACUACUGGAAACGGUGGCUAAUACCGCAUAACGUCGCAAGACCAAAGAGGGGGACCUUCGGGCCUCUUGCCAUCAGAUGUGCCCAGAUGGGAUUAGCUUGUUGGUGAGGUAACGGCUCACCAAGGCGACGAUCCCUAGCUGGUCUGAGAGGAUGACCAGCCACACUGGAACUGAGACACGGUCCAGACUCCUAUUACUGGGCGUAAAGCGCACGCAGGCGGUCUGUCAAGUCGGAUGUGAAAUCCCCGGGCUCAACCUGGGAACUGCAUUCGAAACUGGCAGGCUUGAGUCUUGUAGAGGGGGGUAGAAUUCCAGGUGUAGCGGUGAAAUGCGUAGAGAUCUGGAGGAAUACCGGUGGCGAAGGCGGCCCCCUGGACAAAGACUGACGCUCAGGUGCGAAAGCGUGGGGAGCAAACAGGAUUAGAUACCCUGGUAGUCCACGCCGUAAACGAUGUCUACUUGGAGGUUGUGCCCUUGAGGCGUGGCUUCCGGAGCUAACGCGUUAAGUAGACCGCCUGGGGAGUACGGCCGCAAGGUUAAAACUCAAAUGAAUUGACGGGGGCCCGCACAAGCGGUGGAGCAUGUGGUUUAAUUCGAUGCAACGCGAAGAACCUUACCUGGUCUUGACAUCCACAGAACUUUCCAGAGAUGGAYUGGUGCCUUCGGGAACUGUGAGACAGGUGCUGCAUGGCUGUCGUCAGCUCGUGUUGUGAAAUGUUGGGUUAAGUCCCGCAACGAGCGCAACCCUUAUCCUUUGUUGCCAGCGRUUAGGYCGGGAACUCAAAGGAGACUGCCAGUGAUAAACUGGAGGAAGGUGGGGAUGACGUCAAGUCAUCAUGGCCCUUACGACCAGGGCUACACACGUGCUACAAUGGCGCAUACAAAGAGAAGCGACCUCGCGAGAGCAAGCGGACCUCAUAAAGUGCGUCGUAGUCCGGAUUGGAGUCUGCAACUCGACUCCAUGAAGUCGGAAUCGCUAGUAAUCGUGGAUCAGAAUGCCACGGUGAAUACGUUCCCGGGCCUUGUACACACCGCCCGUCACACCAUGGGAGUGGGUUGCAAAAGAAGUAGGUAGCUUAACCUUCGGGAGGGCGCUUACCACUUUGUGAUUCAUGACUGGGGUGAAGUCGUAACAAGGUAACCGUAGGGGAACCUGCGGUUGGAUCACCUCCUUA